Molecule: transfer RNA, 75 nt
Filed under: Schistocerca americana (American grasshopper)
Lineage: Eukaryota; Metazoa; Arthropoda; Insecta; Orthoptera; Acrididae
Also listed under: 2 other names
Description: tRNA-Thr
Rfam family: tRNA
About the family: Transfer RNA (tRNA) molecules are approximately 80 nucleotides in length. Their secondary structure includes four short double-helical elements and three loops (D, anti-codon, and T loops). Further hydrogen bonds mediate the characteristic L-shaped molecular structure. tRNAs have two regions of fundamental functional importance: the anti-codon, which is responsible for specific mRNA codon recognition, and the 3' end, to which the tRNAs corresponding amino acid is attached (by aminoacyl-tRNA synthetases). tRNAs cope with the degeneracy of the genetic code in two manners: having more than one tRNA (with a specific anti-codon) for a particular amino acid; and 'wobble' base-pairing, i.e. permitting non-standard base-pairing at the 3rd anti-codon position.
Source: RNAcentral
GUCCUCGGUGGCUCAGAUGGAUAGAGCGUCUGCCAUGUAAGCAGGAGAUCCUGGGUUCGAGUCCCGGUCGGGACA